AGUGAGCGCUGGCGGUAGGCCUAACACAUGCAAGUCGAACGGCAGCACAGUAAGAGCUUGCUCUUACGGGUGGCGAGUGGCGGACGGGUGAGGAAUACAUCGGAAUCUACUUUUUCGUGGGGGAUAACGUAGGGAAACUUACGCUAAUACCGCAUACGACCUACGGGUGAAAGCAGGGGAUCUUCGGACCUUGCGCGAUUGAAUGAGCCGAUGUCGGAUUAGCUAGUUGGCGGGGUAAAGGCCCACCAAGGCGACGAUCCGUAGUUGGUCUGAGAGGAUGAUCAGCCACACUGGAACUGAGACACGGUCCAGACUCCUACGGGAGGCAGCAGUGGGGAAUAUUGGACAAUGGGCGCAAGCCUGAUCCAGCCAUACCGCGUGGGUGAAGAAGGCCUUCGGGUUGUAAAGCCCUUUUGUUGGGAAAGAAAAGCAGCAGGUUAAUACCCCGCUGUUCUGACGGUACCCAAAGAAUAAGCACCGGCUAACUUCGUG
RNAcentral lists this ribosomal RNA (492 nucleotides) under uncultured bacterium. RNAcentral describes it as "partial 16S ribosomal RNA". It matches the Rfam family "Bacterial small subunit ribosomal RNA", at positions 29 to 507 of the family's 1533-position model. The record is from RNAcentral.